RNAcentral lists this ribosomal RNA (403 nucleotides) under Fusobacteriota bacterium. Its description in RNAcentral is "Fusobacteria bacterium partial 16S ribosomal RNA". It matches the Rfam family "Bacterial small subunit ribosomal RNA", at positions 355 to 776 of the family's 1533-position model. Lineage: Bacteria; Fusobacteriati; Fusobacteriota. The record is from RNAcentral.
UGGGGAAUAUUGCACAACGGAGGGAACUCUGAUGCAGCGACGCCGCGUGAACGAAGAAGGCUUUCGAGUCGUAAAGUUCUUUUAUAUGGGAAGAUAAUGACGGUACCAUAAGAAAAAGCCCCGGCUAACUACGUGCCAGCAGUCGCGGUAAUACGUAGGGGGCUAGCGUUGUCCGGAAUCACUGGGCGUAAAGGGUUCGCAGGCGGAAAUGCAAGUCAGGUGUAAAAGGCAGUAGCUUAACUACUGUAAGCAUUUGAAACUGCAUAUCUUGAGAAGAGUAGAGGUAAGAGGAAUUUUUAGUGUAGCGGUGAAAUGCGUAGAUAUUAAAAAGAAUACCGGUGGCGAAGGCGACUUACUGGGCUCAUUCUGACGCUGAGGAACGAAAGCGUGGGUAGCAAACAGG